UUUUGUCCUGCUUGAAUUUCCGAGUGGGUGUCGUCUCCCUUUUCAUUUGGGUCGCUCUGUUUCGAUAAGGCCGAGGGAGAGAGCUCGAGCGGCGAAGGAGAGAGGCGGAGGAGAGAGGCGAUUCCGAGCUAUUCCACCGUUCGAUUUUGAUUUUGUCCUCCCUAUUCUCUUUGCCCCCGGCUGCCGAGGUUUGGUUCAAUGCAGAAAGUUUCUCACAAGGAUGUACCACUAGUCUCUUCUCUUGAGAGUGCAGAUUCUCUGAAUGAUCUGUUUGUGCCUAAUGAUCUUGCAGAUGAUGGUUCUAAUCCUAUGUCUUUGGAAAUCUCUAGUGAUGAUGGAGGGCUUGACAAUCUCAAGUGUGGUCCAGGGAAGCUGCUGGGAGGGAUUGCGUGGGGUUCUCUUGCUCUUUUGGUUUAGUUGACAACCGGGUCUUCUUUUUUUUAAGUCCAACCCGUUUAGUGGGAACGAACAGUAUCAGUGGUUUUGGGCUAUACAGAUGUCAACCGGAUAUUGGUCAGAAAAUUUGAAUGAUAUCCAAUAGGAAAUCAGUCAAAUGUCAAAUAGACAAUCCCAAUAAAAAUGGCCGUCUUGCGGAACACAAACCCCAAAUAUGGUAGUUGUUGGCUCCUGAGCUACGGAACAUCUCAGCGACGACUCACGAGUGACGGUCAGGCCGAGCGGCAAGUCGCCUCCGGCAAGCCGGCGGUGGCGACUUGCCACUACGUGGCCGGCAUCGCUCCCUGCCCAUCAUCGCUUCCGCGGCUACAAUCGAAUUGUGAUGGCCUGCAAUCGAAACCUU
Molecule: long non-coding RNA, 799 nt
Organism: Triticum aestivum (bread wheat)
Lineage: Eukaryota; Viridiplantae; Streptophyta; Magnoliopsida; Poales; Poaceae
Exons: 4
Source: RefSeq, a predicted model, not a curated record